GACGAACGCUGGCGGCGUGCCUAACACAUGCAAGUCGAACGGAAAGGCCUGCUUUCCCUUGUGGAUUGCGGGUACUCGAGUGGCGAACGGGUGAGUAACACGUGAGUGAUCUGCCCCCAACUUGGGUAUAAGCCUGGGAAACUGGGUCUAAUUCCCGAUAGGACUGCAGGGUGGUGCCUGUGGUGGAAAACGAUUUUCUAGUGGUUGGGGAUGAGCUCGCGGCCUAUCAGCUUGUUGGUGGGGUAAUGGCCUACCAAGGCGGCGACGGGUAGCCGGCCUGAGAGGGUGGACGGCCACAUUGGGACUGAGAUACGGCCCAGACUCCUACGGGAGGCAGCAGUGGGGAAUAUUGCACAAUGGGCGGAAGCCUGAUGCAGCGACGCCGCGUGGGGGAUGACGGCCUUCGGGUUGUAAACUCCUUUCGACCGCGAGGAAGCCACCUGGUUGGAAGGGUGGUGACGGUAGUGGUAGAAGAAGCACCGGCUAACUACGUG
This 494-nucleotide ribosomal RNA is filed under the name uncultured bacterium. Its description in RNAcentral is "partial 16S ribosomal RNA". It matches the Rfam family "Bacterial small subunit ribosomal RNA", at positions 28 to 507 of the family's 1533-position model. The record is from RNAcentral.